RNAcentral lists this ribosomal RNA (238 nucleotides) under uncultured bacterium. RNAcentral's name for it is "partial 16S ribosomal RNA". It matches the Rfam family "Bacterial small subunit ribosomal RNA", at positions 94 to 334 of the family's 1533-position model. The record is from RNAcentral.
AGUGGCGGACGGGUGAGUAACGCGUAGGAACCUACCUGGUAGCGGGGGGACAACCUGGUGAAAACCAGGCUAAUACCGCAUACGCCCUACGGGGGAAAGCAGGGGAUCUUCGGACCUUGCACUAACAGAUGGGCCUGCGUCGGAUUAGCUAGUUGGUGAGGUAAUGGCUCACCAAGGCGACGAUCCGUAGCUGGUUUGAGAGAAUGAUCAGCCACACUGGGACUGAGACACGGCCCAG